Molecule: transfer RNA, 80 nt
Filed under: Actinoplanes italicus
Lineage: Bacteria; Bacillati; Actinomycetota; Actinomycetes; Micromonosporales; Micromonosporaceae
Description: tRNA-Ala
Source: RNAcentral
GAGCGGGUCGUCGGACCCGGUCACGACGGCGGCGUUGCCUGCCGCGUACCGGCCGGGGUGUUCCAGCACCCACCUGCGCA